CUACUGCUGAUGAGACCAACCAGGUCGAAACAGCUGUCCAGUGC
This is a non-coding RNA of Echinostoma caproni, 44 nucleotides long. The record is from Rfam. NCBI's taxonomy places the organism in Eukaryota, Metazoa, Platyhelminthes, Trematoda, Plagiorchiida, Echinostomatidae.